This 229-nucleotide ribosomal RNA is filed under the name uncultured bacterium. RNAcentral describes it as "partial 16S ribosomal RNA". It matches the Rfam family "Bacterial small subunit ribosomal RNA", at positions 568 to 796 of the family's 1533-position model. The record is from RNAcentral.
UGCGCAGGCGGAAUAUUAAGUCAGUGGUGAAAGCCUACAGCUCAACUGUAGAACUACCAUUGAAACUGAUAUUCUUGAGUAUAGUUGUAGUAGGCGGAAUAUAUCAUGUAGCGGUGAAAUGCUUAGAUAUGAUAUAGAACACCGAUCGCGAAGGCAGCUUACUAAGCUAUAACUGACGCUCAGGCACGAAAGCGUGGGGAGCAAACAGGAUUAGAUACCCUGGUAGUCC